This 295-nucleotide signal recognition particle RNA is filed under the name Octodon degus (degu). RNAcentral's name for it is "Metazoan signal recognition particle RNA (ENSODEG00000025856.1)". It matches the Rfam family "Metazoan signal recognition particle RNA". From Rfam's summary of the family: The signal recognition particle (SRP) is a universally conserved ribonucleoprotein. It is involved in the co-translational targeting of proteins to membranes. Lineage: Eukaryota; Metazoa; Chordata; Mammalia; Rodentia; Octodontidae. The record is from RNAcentral.
GCCCGGCACCGGGGCCCGCGCCUGUAGUCCCAGAUACUCUGGAGGCUGAGCUGGGAGAAUCGCUUGAGCCCAGGAGUUCUGGGCUGCAGUUCGCUAUGCCGAUCCCGUGUCCGCACUAAGUUCGGCAUCAAUAUGGUGACCUCCCGGGAGUGGGGGACCACAAGGUUGCCUAAGGAGGGGUGAGCCGACCCAGGUCGGAAGCUGUUCUAGGCUUUGAUGCCCUGGUCUUGAUUUAUGUGAUUUCUAAAACCAAGGGCCUGUGAUCUGGCACGGGGGAAAAAGUGAUGCCUUCUUA